CCUACGGGAGGCAGCAGUGAGGAAUAUUGGUCAAUGGGCGGAAGCCUGAACCAGCCAAGUAGCGUGCGGGAUGAAGGCCCUACGGGUCGUAAACCGCUUUUGCACGGGGAUAACACCAUCCACUUGUGGAGGUCUGCAGGUACCGUGCGAAUAAGGGCCGGCAAAUUCCGUGCCAGCAGCCGCGGUAAUACGGAAGGCCCGAGCGUUAUCCGGAUUCAUUGGGCUUAAAGGGAGCGUAGGCGGGCGUUCAAGUCAGCUGUAAAAUCGCGCGGCUCAACCGCGCCCCGCAGUUGAACCUGGACGACUUGAGUUCACAAGAGGCAGGCGGAAUUCGUGGUGUAGCGGUGAAAUGCAUAGAUAUCACGAGGAACCCCGAUUGCGAAGGCAGCCUGCCGGGGUGCGACUGACGCUGAGGCUCGAAGGUGCGGGUAUCAAACAGGAUUAGAUACCCUGGUAGUC
This 459-nucleotide ribosomal RNA is filed under the name uncultured bacterium. Its description in RNAcentral is "partial 16S ribosomal RNA". It matches the Rfam family "Bacterial small subunit ribosomal RNA", at positions 338 to 795 of the family's 1533-position model. The record is from RNAcentral.